ACCUGAAACCGUGUACGUACAAGCAGUGGGAGCACAGGUUUACCUGUGUGACUGCGUACCUUUUGUAUAAUGGGUCAGCGACUUAUAUUCUGUAGCAAGGUUAACCGAAUAGGGGAGCCGGAGGGAAACCGAGUCUUAAUUGGGCGUUAAGUUGCAGGGUAUAGACCCGAAACCCGGUGAUCUAGCCAUGGGCAGGUUGAAGGUUGGGUAACACUAACUGGAGGACCGAACCGACUAAUGUUGAAAAAUUAGCGGAUGACCUGUGGCUGGGGGUGAAAGGCCAAUCAAACCGGGAGAUAGCUGGUUCUCCCCGAAAGCUAUUUAGGUAGCGCCUCGUGAAUUCAUCUCCGGGGGUAGAGCACUGUUUCGGCUAGGGGGCCAUCCCGGCUUACCAACCCGAUGCAAACUGCGAAUACCGGAGAAUGUUAUCACGGGAGACACACGGCGGGUGCUAACGUCCGUCGUGAAGAGGGAAACAACCCAGACCGCCAGCUAAGGUCCCAAAGUCAUGGUUAAGUGGGAAACGAUGUGGGAAGGCCCAGACAGCCAGGAUGUUGGCUUAGAAGCAGCCAUCAUUUAAAGAAAGCGUAAUAGCUCACUGGUCGAGUCGGCCUGCGCGGAAGAUGUAACGGGGCUAAACCAU
RNAcentral lists this ribosomal RNA (643 nucleotides) under Salmonella enterica. RNAcentral's name for it is "partial 23S ribosomal RNA". It matches the Rfam family "Bacterial large subunit ribosomal RNA", at positions 548 to 1190 of the family's 2925-position model. The record is from RNAcentral. Lineage: Bacteria; Pseudomonadati; Pseudomonadota; Gammaproteobacteria; Enterobacterales; Enterobacteriaceae.